GUGCUCACUUUAGCAGCACAUAUAUAUAAAACUGGAAUGAUACAGAGAAGAUUAGCACGGCCCCUGUGCAAGGAGGACAUGGAAAUUCGUGAAGCGUUCCAUAUUAAA
Molecule: small nuclear RNA, 108 nt
Organism: Nycticebus coucang (slow loris)
Lineage: Eukaryota; Metazoa; Chordata; Mammalia; Primates; Lorisidae
Source: RefSeq, a predicted model, not a curated record